RNAcentral lists this long non-coding RNA (1946 nucleotides) under Paramuricea clavata. The record is from RNAcentral. Lineage: Eukaryota; Metazoa; Cnidaria; Anthozoa; Malacalcyonacea; Plexauridae.
GCUCUGCAACUGUAGUGAAAGUUUAAAAAAAUUCUGUAGUGUGUGAUUUUUUUAAAAGCGAAAAAUUUAUUGCGAAAUUUCCACAGUACAGAUUUUUUUAAAAUUUGAAAUUUAUAAAAUUUACCGCAAAAUAAAUUCGUGGUCAAAAUUUGAAGAUAGGUCACCGAUGAAACUAAUGAGUAAAAUGCAAAUAAAGUUAGAAAAUAGCCUCGUGUAACUCGAGAAAUUCCCCUAUUGAAAAGCGUCGCUGACUAGUAAAAGAUUGUACGCGGGCGCAGAACGAGUUUUCAUUCAGCAAAAUCACAGAGUAAGGAUAUACAGAGGCGGAACUCGAGGCAAAUCAUGUCCCCACUUUUUUAAUGCGCAUGCGCGACCCUCUGGCAAGUGUCAUGCACAUUUUUUAUCAGGAAAAAGAUAGGGAAAUGCAAAAUUUUGGCAGUAAAACGGCGAUUUUAAGCGCAGUAACCGAUCAAUCUUCAUUUUCUGCACGAAUUUUGCAAAUAAAUGGCACACUGCGUCUUCUUAGCGAAAGGGAAUUGAACGAAUACCAUUUUUAACGGCGAAAAUGAGAAAAGACACCCGAAGGAGUGAGAAUUUCUGGCAAUCUGAAGAUUCGAUUCUGUAGACCUGAACUCCAGCUGGAAUUUGGCAACUUUAUAUGUGAGUUUUUUUUCUCUAGCUCAUAUAUAUGAAAUUAUCAAUAUAUUUUUGUGAAGUGCAAUGUUGUAUGAAAGGGUUGUCGUUAAUUUAAACAUUGCAUAAACUGAAAUAGCAUUCAGAUACGAAAAAUAUGAACAUCAACAUUCAACAUGGACUGAUGGACAUCGAGCCACAGUACUCUAAAGUUCUCAUAUAGACUUUAUUUAACUUAUAUGUUGACCCAAUGGUGAGGGAUUGAUCAAAUUAUACUUUAUAGUGAUUCCCCUAGAUUAGUGCAUUGGUUAUUGUGCAAUGACAACCUUUUUUUGGCUCUCAAAGGUCAAUAAUUUCUCAAACAUGCCAAGUCUGUACAUGUUUAAUAAUCUAAUCUGUUUAUUUUUUAUUUUGCUUUUCUAGAUUGCCAAUCAUUCCUGUUGAACUACAUUGUUCAUUACAAUGAAUCAGAUGCAGAUUCUUACAACUAUGUUAAUUUGUUCACCUGAUUGGGGAAAACCUGAGACUAUUUGAUCUUAUAUUGGAAUGCCUACCAAUUUUACAUAGCCUCAGGCAAUGUUUAUAUAAUUAAUCUUGAGUAAUAGAGAUGCUGUACCCCCUGACGGAGUGACCUUACUACCUGGAUUAUCCCACUAGACAAGACAAGUUCAAAACUUUCCAUGCAAACACUUGCAUGGCAGUUGCUAUAAUAGGAUAUGAAUAUAGUUUUGCCUUGCCAGGGUGGCUCGGGGGGGGGGGUAGGAUUUCCCUAGUACCCGGAGACCAUAUAGACAGGCCGUCGGAUUACUGUAAUAGUUUAAUUGAGGUUCAAAAAAGCAGCCCCCCCCCAAGUGGUAGGCCUGCUCCCCAAAUCCAGCCCCCCUUGGAAGAUGUACUGUAAAGGUAGACAAUUUUACUUGUUAGCCCAACUUUAUUAUUCUGUCUAACACCAGACGAUCCAGUUAACCCAUCGAGUUGCAUUGCAUGUGCCCUGAUGCACCCUACUUUAUUAUUUUACUCUGUCUAACGCCAGACGAUUUUACUCGUCAAGGGGUGAGCACACUUUAACAGGCAAAGUAUUAAUUGGGAAUACUUUCUCUUUUAAUGGGAAACUCUUUAUCAAUAAAAGGAACAAUGCAAUUAUUCAUAGUAUUUAAUUUUUCAUAUAAAGCAAAGACUGUAAGAGGAAACAUGGAUCAUUGGCUACUUUUUUUAUUUAGUAUAAAUUUUCAUGACAACAUGUGGGGUCAACUAUAAAGGAAACAGUUAUUGCCUAUUUUGGAAUAAAAAAAUUAGAAUUAUAGCAAUAUUCA